RNAcentral lists this ribosomal RNA (506 nucleotides) under uncultured bacterium. RNAcentral's name for it is "partial 16S ribosomal RNA". It matches the Rfam family "Bacterial small subunit ribosomal RNA", at positions 30 to 523 of the family's 1533-position model. The record is from RNAcentral.
AUUGAACGCUGGCGGCAGGCCUAACACAUGCAAGUCGAACGGUAACAGGAAGCAGCUUGCUGCUUCGCUGACGAGUGGCGGACGGGUGAGUAAUGUCUGGGAAACUGCCUGAUGGAGGGGGAUAACUACUGGAAACGGUAGCUAAUACCGCAUAACGUCGCAAGACCAAAGAGGGGGACCUUCGGGCCUCUUGCCAUCGGAUGUGCCCAGAUGGGAUUAGCUAGUAGGUGGGGUAACGGCUCACCUAGGCGACGAUCCCUAGCUGGUCUGAGAGGAUGAACAGCCACACUGGAACUGAGACACGGUCCAGACUCCUACGGGAGGCAGCAGUGGGGAAUAUUGCACAAUGGGCGCAAGCCUGAUGCAGCCAUGCCGCGUGUAUGAAGAAGGCCUUCGGGUUGUAAAGUACUUGCAGCGGGGAGGAAGGCGACAAGGUUAAUAACCUUGUCGAUUGACGUUACCCGCAGAAGAAGCACCGGCUAACUCCGUGCCAGCCGCCGCCGUAA